Molecule: ribosomal RNA, 253 nt
Filed under: uncultured bacterium
Lineage: Bacteria
Description: partial 16S ribosomal RNA
Rfam family: Bacterial small subunit ribosomal RNA
Source: RNAcentral
GACAGAGGGGGCAAGCGUUGCUCGGAAUCACUGGGCGUAAAGGGCGCGUAGGCGGGAUGGCAAGUCGGUCGUGAAAUCUCUCGGCUCAACCGAGAAACGUCGGCCGAUACUGCCGUUCUUGAGGGAUGCAGAGGAGACUGGAAUUCCCGGUGUAGCGGUGAAAUGUGUAGAGAUCGGGAGGAACACCGGUGGCGAAGGCGGGUCUCUGGGCUGACACUGACGCUCAUGCACGAAAGCGUGGGGAGCAAACAGG